AUGAUUAACAGGAGGGGCAGAGGGAGAGGGACAAGGAGAGGGUCAGGCAGACUCCCCCACUGAGUGCAGUAUGACCUGGAGUUUAAUCCCAGGACCCCAAGAUCACAAUCUGAGCUGAAGAAGCCAGAUGCUUCACGGACUGAGCCACACGGACGUCCCUGAGGGAAAACAAUUUCUAACCAAGAAUUCUACAUCCAGCGUGAUUGUCAAUUAAGUAUGAGUUUAGAAUAAAGACACUUCCAUACAGGCAAGGUCGGAAAAAUGUGCCUCUCAGGCAUCCUUUCUCAGGAAAUUAUUAGAGGAUGUGUUCCACUAAAUGAAGAAGAAAAUGAAAACAAUAAAACAAAAGCACGGGAUUGAGGAAACAAGAGAUACCAGAAGAGGAUAAUGGUAGAGGGUGACUCCCAGACCACAGCCCUGCAGCAGGGAUCAAGAGCAAACAGUCCAGAGCCGCGUCCCGUCAGAAGGCUCCUCUAGAGAGAUUUUAUUCAAGAAAUGAAACUGACAGACCACCUGCCGCAUCUGAAUGUCUGGAGAACAGAUCCAUACAACUGAGGAAGAGUUUGGGAUUGAAUCAGUGUAAAUUCACAGAAAACUGGCGAAACAGAAGGCAAGACUGUUAAUUGACUUGCGCAGUGAAAAGCGCAAUGAAAAAACAGUAAUGCUGUCAUCUAUGAAGAGCAUUUCAUGGUCACGGUAUAUGACUGAAUGCGGAAGGAUGGGAGGACGGACUUCCUGUCUGUGGUGAGGAAGCAGUGAGCGCGACGGAGUACUAAAUCUCUACCGUCCACUGUAGAAUGUCAACAGGUAAUGCCCAAACUAGAACAACUGACAGUAGAAGUAUGUUAUUUAGAGAUCUGGCGGUAAAUACCAAACAAAUUACUUGGAGGAGUUGAAACUGGAUGCCUCCUAAAGGUACAACUUUACUAAGAACAAACCCUGAACUAACUUGCACAGGAUUACACAGCCUACAGCGGUCGGAAUGGGGCUUCUAAUCUAGCUGCUCUGGUUCUCUGACCUAUUUGUCACGUCUCGACCAACAGAGCCAAUGAAGUCUAUUCGAAAUCUAGGGAGGAUAGGCACUGCAUAUCCUCAGCUGAGAAGUGAAGAGCUAAUAACUGGUUGCCAUCACAUCGUUCAUCUUAAGUACAAAGAGUGGAGGGUAGGGGAGAAAUGGAAUACAUCACGGACAAAAAACUCCAGAUGAGGGACGCCUAGGUGGCUAGGACGACUGCCUUCGGCUCAAGUCAUGAUCCCGGAGUCCCGGAAUCGAGUCCCGCAUCGGGCUCCCAGCUCCAUGGGGAGUCUGCUUCUCCCUCUGACCUUCUCCUUACUCAUGCUCUCUCUCACUGUCUCUCUGUCAAAUAAAUAAAUAAAAUCUUUAAAAAAAAAAA
Molecule: long non-coding RNA, 1394 nt
Organism: Mustela lutreola (European mink)
Lineage: Eukaryota; Metazoa; Chordata; Mammalia; Carnivora; Mustelidae
Exons: 4
Source: RefSeq, a predicted model, not a curated record